GACGAACGCUGGCGGCGUGCCUAAUACAUGCAAGUUGAGCGCUGAAGGUUGGUCCUUGUACCAACUGGAUGAGCAGCAAACGGGUGAGUAACGCGUGGGGAAUCUGCCUUUGAGCGGGGGACAACAUUUGGAAACGAAUGCUAAUACCGCAUAAAAACUUUAAACACAAGUUUUAAGUUUGAAAGAUGCAAUUGCAUCACUCAAAGAUGAUCCCGCGUUGUAUUAGCUAGUUGGUGAGGUAAAGGCUCACCAAGGCGAUGAUACAUAGCCGACCUGAGAGGGUGAUCGGCCACAUUGGGACUGAGACACGGCCCAAACUCCUACGGGAGGCAGCAGUAGGGAAUCUUCGGCAAUAGACGAAAGUCUGACCGAGCAACGCCGCGUGAGUGAAGAAGGUUGUCGGAUCGUAAAACUCUGUUGGUAGAGAAGAACGUUGGUGAGAGUGGAAAGCUCAUCAAGUGACGGUAACUACCCAGAAAGGGACGGCUAACUACGUG
Molecule: ribosomal RNA, 497 nt
Filed under: uncultured bacterium
Lineage: Bacteria
Description: partial 16S ribosomal RNA
Rfam family: Bacterial small subunit ribosomal RNA
Source: RNAcentral